Molecule: long non-coding RNA, 391 nt
Filed under: Lepidothrix coronata (blue-crowned manakin)
Lineage: Eukaryota; Metazoa; Chordata; Aves; Passeriformes; Pipridae
Description: lncRNA (ENSLCOG00000000459.1)
Source: RNAcentral
GCCCCCGCUUCCUGCCGGGAGGGGCCGCGGCCGGAGCGCAGGUCCCGGAGUCACCAACCAUGUGGAACCCUGGUGCAGGGCAGCCGCCCCCCCCCAACCCCGUGUACCCCCCAAACCCCACGUACUCCCCCCAGGUGCCACCCCCCAACCCCGUGUAUCCACCCCCCGGGGUACCCUCCAACCCUCUGGGGGGGCCAGGGCAGCCCCCGUACCCCCCUGGCCCCCCCCCGUACCCCACAGGCCCUCCCCUGGGCCCCUCGGCCCCCCCCCUGGUUCCACCCCUGCAGCCCCCCCACCCUGGGGUGCCCUCCCUGUACCCCCCCGGGCUGGACAAGAAGGCGGCCAAGAAGAUGAAGAAGAAGAUGAAGAAGGCUCAGAAGAGGCACAAGCG